This 266-nucleotide ribosomal RNA is filed under the name uncultured bacterium. Its description in RNAcentral is "partial 16S ribosomal RNA". It matches the Rfam family "Bacterial small subunit ribosomal RNA", at positions 793 to 1055 of the family's 1533-position model. The record is from RNAcentral.
GUCCAUGCCGUAAACUAUGCAUACAAGCUGUAGUGGGGUUUUUCUCCUGCUGUGGCGAAGCUAACGCAAUUAGUAUGCCGCCUGGGGAGUACGGUCGCAAGACUAAAAACUCAAAGGAAUUGACGGGGGCCCCGCACAAGCGGUGGAUUAUGUGGUUUAAUUCGAAGCAACGCGCAGAACCUUACCUAGGCUUGACAUCCCUUGACAAACGUGGAAACACGUCUUUGUAGCAAUACACAAGGAGACAGGUGCUGCAUGGCUGUCGU